CGUGACCUUCAGACGAAGCACCGGCUAAUUUCUUGACAGCAGCCGCCGUAAUACGAAAGGUUCAAGCGUUAAUCGGAAUUACUGGGCGUAAAGCGCGCGUAGGCGGUGUGUUAAGUCGGAUGUGAAAGCCCAGGGCUCAACCUUGGAAUUGCAUCCGAUACUGGCACGCUAGAGUGCAGUAGAGGCAGGUGGAAUUUCCGGUGUAGCGGUGAAAUGCUUUUUUGAUAAGGAAGGANACNNAANCAGNUGGCGAAGGCGGCCUCCUGGACUGACACUGACGCUGAGGUGCGAAAGCGUGGGGAGNCANAAAGGAUAAGAUACCCUGGUAGUCCACGCUGUAAACGANUGUCUAAUAGUCGGCGGGGUCCUUAGUGACUUUGGUGGCGCAGCUAACGCGAUAAGUAGACCGCCUGGGGAGUACGGCCGCAANGGCUUAAAACUCAAAUGAAUUGACGGGGGCCCGCACAAGCGGUGGAGCAUGUGGUUUAAUUCGAUGCAACGCGAAGAACCUUACCAGGUCUUGACAUCCUCGGAACUUGGCAGAGAUGCCUUGGUGCCUUCGGGAGCCGAGUGACAGGUGCUGCAUGGCCGUCGUCAGCUCGUGUCGUGAGAUGUUGGGUUAAGACCCGUAACGAGCGCAACCCUUGUCCUUACUUGCCAACACGUCAUGGUGGCAACUCUAAGGAGACUGCCGGUGAGGAAGCGGAC
This 708-nucleotide ribosomal RNA is filed under the name uncultured Alcanivorax sp. Its description in RNAcentral is "bacterial SSU rRNA". It matches the Rfam family "Bacterial small subunit ribosomal RNA", at positions 473 to 1168 of the family's 1533-position model. The record is from RNAcentral. Lineage: Bacteria; Pseudomonadati; Pseudomonadota; Gammaproteobacteria; Oceanospirillales; Alcanivoracaceae.